UUAUUCACACUUUUGAAGAAAGUCCUGACACGUGGCUGCAUCAGAAAAGCUGAGCCGACCAAAUGCAUAAUUUGUAUUUGGCUGCAGCGGAUUUCUUAAGAAAAUAACCACCGUAUCUGCUUGGUCUGACGCUUUACUUAUCUCCGGUCGUGUAAUUGUGAACGAAUUCAUAUACUGCUUGUCGUCGCAUUGCUUGCUUAGCUGAGCGAUAAUCACCAAACCCCGAUCAGCGCAGCGAUGUACGGUGAUGAUCCAGGAAAAUGUCCAAUUAUUCUGCGGAUUUUCAUGUUCGUCGCGCUUCAUAUUCCCCCAUAAACGCCCCAUAUUUAUUGGCCUCGUUGGACGCAAAAAAUAACGUGGUGUGGCCAACGGCGUACCGGGUUUUGAAGAAUACCUGCAGCUGCAGAUGCUCGUAGGUGUAGCCGUCCCGCCAUUCACGCCACUGGAUCCGCACAUUGGCGUCCAGCAUCAUACACAUAAACUCCACAGGCUGGCCGUCUUCCUGCGAUAGAUGUUCCAGUUGGACACAGUGCACUUUGCAGCGGUUGAUCUCGUGCACGGACAGUAGCAGACGCCAACCGGGACGACCAUUCCCGACGCCCGCAACGGCCGGCUCUAGCAUACCCAUAAACAAGUCACCGUACAGUACAGCGUCCGGCCGAUUAAUGUCGACGACAUCCCGCACCGGCUGAGCCAAAACGGCGGAAUCCUCCCGCAGCAGAUUUUCCAGUGCUUUUCUCAUGUCCACGGCCAGUCCUUCUUGCAGUCGAAAAAGCACCUGUCGGUCGACAUAUGUGUUUCUCGCCAAACUGCUAGCAACCGCCGCCCCAAAUAAUUCGGGAUCGUCCAAAUCACCCUCGGUGGCGCUUUGACCAUCGGAUUCUUGUUUCAGCGCCAGUAAGGUGUACGUCAGCAAAGCGGCCGUGGUGUCCAGGAUGCAAAAGACAUUCUGAACUCCGUUGUUCCGCCACCCGUCCACCACCGCUUGCCGGAUAACGGUGACAGCAUGGAGACCAUGCGACAGCACCAUUACCACGCAGCGGAGACUCUUCCGGCGCUUGAUUUUCAGGGCAUUCAGGAUGUAGGCGAACAGCUUAGCUAACAUCUCAGAUAUCACUACAUCCGACUUCGCCACACCGUAAGUGAACUCUAGCAGCAGACGUUUGAUGGAGACGGGCGGUCGGCAGCCGGCGUCGGCUUGGUGGUUAACCGCUUCGUCACCAAAAAUCCAUGGGGUGAGGCCAACGCCGCCGGCGGCCACUGCGCGAAAAGCGAACAGGACGCGUCGUUGUCCGUGGGCGAAGACCGCCACCGAGACCUCGCGGAAUCCAAUGGCCACUCCCAAGUGGUGUUUGCUAUACCUCUGCAAAGCGUGGUCCUUCUAGCUCUAAAUGGGUACACACGUAAACAGCAAACAUACGUAGAACUACUAACUGGGGUUGUCGUGUGGAGGUCAUUACAAGGGUGCCGCAGUAGACCGAUGCUCAUGGCUGCGUGUCCAGCUAGCCCAAUGCUUCUGUCCGUUGAAGGUACAAAUUUGACGACGCGAACUGCCUGGCGGUUAACCAAAAUUCUACUUAUAACCUAUAGCGAGAUAAAUAUCAGCACAUUAUAAAAGCUGAUAGCAGACUAAUUGUCGGUUAUAGUUGGUAGCUGCACUUAGGAAGAAUCAGAAAGCACAAGCAUUAUCCAGACGCUACACUGUAUACGUUCUACAUACAAACGUUACUGUGUCAUUUUCCGCAUUGUAUUAUUUACAUUUCCAUCCAGGUGGUCUACUGAAACACAUAAAACAGAGUACAGAGUCACAGACAUGUCAAAAUCGCUCGCGACUGACCCAUUUGUAAACCGCCCGGUUUGCUCUUGACUCUUGAGGUAAAACUUCCUAUCGCAACAAAAUACGCUUUGAUCACGUGCGCUAAAAUGUCAACAGGGAAGCGUUUUAUCUGCUCACACGGCUGUAGUGCAAUGAAACGGCAGGAAAAAAAUCUUGGUGCGUGACUAGAUAGCAUAUUUGUGUGUCACCGGACAAUGUCAAAGAAAAACGACGCACGAACCGGAUUCACCGCUAUUUCAACUUAUUUCCUUGGCUCUGCCAGAAAAUUGGGAUGUUAUUAUAUUCCAGUGUGGACUGCGAAUUGCUGCUCAAAAAUACUUUCUAUAUAAGCCCAAGCCUGUUUAAAAGGCCUAAAAUUGCUUUCAUACCUGGCUUUUUAAGUCUUUUAACUGAACCCUAUUUUCUCAUAGUUUUUGUGGCCGGAAACGAGCGGCAUGAAGCAAUAUAAAGGAUCGCAAUAAACACGAAAUUAUUAGAUACAGUCGCAAACGUGGCCGUUUCUAAAUUAUUUUC
This is a long non-coding RNA of Paramacrobiotus metropolitanus, 2350 nucleotides long. RefSeq lists it as uncharacterized. NCBI's taxonomy places the organism in Eukaryota, Metazoa, Tardigrada, Eutardigrada, Parachela, Macrobiotidae. The record is from RefSeq and is a predicted model, not a curated record. The transcript has 3 exons.